ACAAGCAGCGGAGCAUGUGGUUUAAUUCGAAGCAACGACGAAGAACCUUACCAGAUCUUGACAUCCAAUUGACCAUCUUUUAAUCGAGAUUUUGCCUUCGGGUACAAUUGAGACAGGUGGUGCAUGGUUGUCGUCAGCUCGUGUCGUGAGAUGUUGGGUUAAGUCCCGCAACGAGCGCAACCCUUGUGUUUAGUUGCGAACAGGUCAAGCUGUGCACUCUAGACAGACUGCCGUGGACAACACGGAGGAAGGUGGGGAUGACGUCAAAUCAUCAUGCCCCUUAUGAUCUGGGCUACACACGUGCUACAAUGGCCGGUACAACGGGCAGCGAAGGAGCGAUCCGGAGCGAAUCCUAAAAAGCCGGUCCCAGUUCGGAUUGCAGGCUGAAACUCGCCUACAUGAAGUUGGAGUUGCUAGUAAUCGCGAAUCAGAAUGUCGCGGUGAAUGCGUUCCCGGGUCUU
Molecule: ribosomal RNA, 461 nt
Filed under: uncultured Fusibacter sp.
Lineage: Bacteria; Bacillati; Bacillota; Clostridia; Eubacteriales; Fusibacteraceae
Description: bacterial SSU rRNA
Rfam family: Bacterial small subunit ribosomal RNA
Source: RNAcentral